RNAcentral lists this ribosomal RNA (469 nucleotides) under uncultured Psychrobacter sp. RNAcentral's name for it is "bacterial SSU rRNA". It matches the Rfam family "Bacterial small subunit ribosomal RNA", at positions 60 to 523 of the family's 1533-position model. The record is from RNAcentral. Lineage: Bacteria; Pseudomonadati; Pseudomonadota; Gammaproteobacteria; Moraxellales; Moraxellaceae.
AGUCGAGCGGAACGAUGGUAGCUUGCUACCAGGCGUCGAGCGGCGGACGGGUGAGUAAUACUUAGGAAUCUACCUAGUAGUGGGGGAUAGCACGGGGAAACUCGUAUUAAUACCGCAUACGACCUACGGGAGAAAGGGGGCAGUUUACUGCUCUCGCUAUUAGAUGAGCCUAAGUCGGAUUAGCUAGAUGGUGGGGUAAAGGCCUACCAUGGCGACGAUCUGUAGCUGGUCUGAGGGGAUGAUCAGCCACACCGGGACUGAGACACGGCCCGGACUCCUACGGGAGGCAGCAGUGGGGAAUAUUGGACAAUGGGGGAAACCCUGAUCCAGCCAUGCCGCGUGUGUGAAGAAGGCCUUUUGGUUGUAAAGCACUUUAAGCAGUGAAGAAGACUCUUCGGUUAAUACCCGGAGACGAUGACAUUAGCUGCAGAAUAAGCACCGGCUAACUCUGUGCCAGCAGCCGCGGUAA